AUACAGAGGGUGCGAGCGUUAAUCGGAAUUACUGGGCGUAAAGCGCGCGUAGGCGGCUUAUUAAGUCAGAUGUGAAAUCCCCGGGCUCAACCUGGGAACUGCAUCUGAUACUGGUAAGCUAGAGUGUGGGAGAGGGAAGUAGAAUUUCAGGUGUAGCGGUGAAAUGCAUAGAGAUCUGAAGGAAUACCAGUGGCGAAGGCGACUUCCUGGCCUAAAACUGACGCUGAGGUGCGAAAGCGUGGGUAGCAAACGGGAUUAGAAACCCCAGUAGUCC
This 274-nucleotide ribosomal RNA is filed under the name uncultured bacterium. RNAcentral describes it as "partial 16S ribosomal RNA". It matches the Rfam family "Bacterial small subunit ribosomal RNA", at positions 523 to 796 of the family's 1533-position model. The record is from RNAcentral.